CAGAGUUGGGGGCGUGACAAAUACAUGCAAGUCGAGCGGACAGAUGGGAGCUUGCUCCCUGAUGUUAGCGGCGGACGGGUGAGUAACACGUGGGUAACCUGCCUGUAAGACUGGGAUAACUCCGGGAAACCGGGGCUAAUACCGGAUGGUUGUUUGAACCGCAUGGUUCAAACAUAAAAGGUGGCUUCGGCUACCACUUACAGAUGGACCCGCGGCGCAUUAGCUAGUUGGUGAGGUAACGGCUCACCAAGGCAACGAUGCGUAGCCGACCUGAGAGGGUGAUCGGCCACACUGGGACUGAGACACGGCCCAGACUCCUACGGGAGGCAGCAGUAGGGAAUCUUCCGCAAUGGACGAAAGUCUGACGGAGCAACGCCGCGUGAGUGAUGAAGGUUUUCGGAUCGUAAAGCUCUGUUGUUAGGGAAGAACAAGUACCGUUCGAAUAGGGCGGUACCUUGACGGUACCUAACCAGAAAGCCACGGCUAACUACGUGCCAGCAGCCGCGGUAAUACGUAGGUGGCAAGCGUUGUCCGGAAUUAUUGGGCGUAAAGGGCUCGCAGGCGGUUUCUUAAGUCUGAUGUGAAAGCCCCCGGCUCAACCGGGGAGGGUCAUUGGAAACUGGGGAACUUGAGUGCAGAAGAGGAGAGUGGAAUUCCACGUGUAGCGGUGAAAUGCGUAGAGAUGUGGAGGAACACCAGUGGCGAAGGCGACUCUCUGGUCUGUAACUGACGCUGAGGAGCGAAAGCGUGGGGAGCGAACAGGAUUAGAUACCCUGGUAGUCCACGCCGUAAACGAUGAGUGCUAAGUGUUAGGGGUUUCCGCCCCUAGUGCUGCAGCUAACGCAUUAAGCACUCCGCUGGGAGUACCGUCGCAGGACUGAAACUCAAGUAUUGACGGAGUCCGCACAGCCGAUGGAAGCAUGUUGAUUUAAAUGUUCCGAAC
Molecule: ribosomal RNA, 943 nt
Filed under: Bacillus subtilis
Lineage: Bacteria; Bacillati; Bacillota; Bacilli; Caryophanales; Bacillaceae
Description: bacterial SSU rRNA
Rfam family: Bacterial small subunit ribosomal RNA
Source: RNAcentral